GAUAAACGCUGGCGGCGUGCAUGAGACAUGCAAGUCGAACGGACGAUCGAGGCUUGCUUCGAUCGUUAGUGGCGGACGGCUGAGUAACGCGUAGGUGACCUGCCCCGAAGUGGGGAAUAACUGCCCGAAAGGGUGGCUAAUACCGCAUGUGGUGGUGUGUUCAAUCACACCAGUAAAGCCGCAAGGCGCUUCGGGAGGGGCCUGCGUCCGAUUAGCUCGUUGGUGGGGUAACGGCNCACCAAGGCGACGAUCGGUAGGUGGUCUGAGAGGACGAUCACCCAGACUGGGACUGAGACACGGCCCAGACUCCUACGGGAGGCAGCAGUGGGGAAUCUUGGACAAUGGGCGCAAGCCUGAUCCAGCCAUGCCGCGUGAGUGACGAAGGUCUUCGGAUUGUAAAGCUCUUUUGCCAGGGACGAUAAUGACGGUACCUGGAGAAUAAG
Molecule: ribosomal RNA, 443 nt
Filed under: uncultured bacterium
Lineage: Bacteria
Description: bacterial SSU rRNA
Rfam family: Bacterial small subunit ribosomal RNA
Source: RNAcentral